Molecule: non-coding RNA, 737 nt
Organism: Coffea arabica (coffee)
Lineage: Eukaryota; Viridiplantae; Streptophyta; Magnoliopsida; Gentianales; Rubiaceae
Source: RefSeq, a predicted model, not a curated record
CAAUAAUAAAUGAAUAACCGUCCCCGUUUUCCCCCUCUAUAAGAAGGCCGGUUUGGCGUUGGGAAAAAAGCAUUAGCGUUCCAAGAAAGCAAGAGACAAAACAGACCAAGUAGAAAUCUUUUUGUGGGUUUUCUGUGAUUCCAAGAGUGGAGUAAACAAUGGCAGCAGAAGAGGGACAAGUGAUCGGUUGCCACAGCGUUGAUCAAUGGAAUGAGCAUUUCACCAAGGGCGUUGAAUCCAAGAAGCUGGUUGUGGUGGAUUUUACAGCUUCAUGGUGUGGACCUUGCCGUUUCAUUGCUCCAAUUCUAGCAGAGUUUGCCAAGAAGCUUCCCCAUGUCAUCUUUCUCAAAGUAGAUGUGGAUGAACUGAAGACUGUUGCUGAGAAAUAUGAAGUGGAGGCAAUGCGACUUUCAUCUUCUUCAGGAUGGAAACAUUGUGGAGAAAUUUGUCGGUGCAAAGAAAGAUGAACUUCUGCAAGUUAUUACCAAGCAUGCUACUGCUGCUGAUACUGCUACUCCUGCUGCUGCUGCUACUGCUACUACUGCUUCUGUUUCAGUUUGAUUCACCAUGGAAACAAACUUUUUAAUAAGGAACUUUAUCCGUCAGUGAUUGUCGUAGCAAGGAUGUUAUAAAUUUCUAGAUGUAGUGGAUGUGAUUGUGUGUUUACUUUUCCAUGGUUUUCAUCCAGUGUCUGCUAGAUUUUACUUUUCUAUAAAUAAUCAAAUUCCUCGUUUAUC